Molecule: unclassified non-coding RNA, 209 nt
Filed under: Hevea brasiliensis (rubber tree)
Lineage: Eukaryota; Viridiplantae; Streptophyta; Magnoliopsida; Malpighiales; Euphorbiaceae
Source: RNAcentral
GACAGUUUCUGGUUUUUGCUGGUGAAAUUCAAUCGUUCUGGCUCAACCUUCACGACUGCGCCUUUAAAUGCUGAGACUACAACAUGGUAAUUUGAGAUGGGGGAACCCACAUUAGUGACUGUUCUAUGAAGGGUCAGCAUUGAAAGUUUUGUCUUUUCAGGAAAAACUGCAGAGAUGGCUGGGUAGUUCAAGUCCCCUGGAUUAGCAAG